Molecule: ribosomal RNA, 424 nt
Filed under: uncultured prokaryote
Description: bacterial SSU rRNA
Rfam family: Bacterial small subunit ribosomal RNA
Source: RNAcentral
UGGGGAAUCUUAGACAAUGGGGGAAACCCUGAUCUAGCCAUGCCGCGUGAGUGACGAAGGCCUUAGGGUCGUAAAGCUCUUUCGCCAGGGAUGAUAAUGACAGUACCUGGUAAAGAAACCCCGGCUAACUCCGUGCCAGCAGCCGCGGUAAUACGGAGGGGGUUAGCGUUGUUCGGAAUUACUGGGCGUAAAGCGCACGUAGGCGGACUAUUAAGUCAGGGGUGAAAUCCCGGGGCUCAACCCCGGAACUGCCUUUGAUACUGGUAGUCUUGAGUUCGAGAGAGGUGAGUGGAAUUCCGAGUGUAGAGGUGAAAUUCGUAGAUAUUCGGAGGAACACCAGUGGCGAAGGCGGCUCACUGGCUCGAUACUGACGCUGAGGUGCGAAAGCGUGGGGAGCAAACAGGAUUAGAUACCCCCGUAGUCC